CGACCUCAGAUCGGGCGAGACUACCCGCUGAAUUUAAGCAUAUCAAUAAGCGGAGGAAAAGAAACUAACAAGGAUUCCC
RNAcentral lists this ribosomal RNA (79 nucleotides) under Palythoa mutuki. RNAcentral's name for it is "partial 28S ribosomal RNA". It matches the Rfam family "Eukaryotic large subunit ribosomal RNA", at positions 1 to 79 of the family's 3401-position model. The record is from RNAcentral. RNAcentral also lists the same sequence under 1 other name. Lineage: Eukaryota; Metazoa; Cnidaria; Anthozoa; Zoantharia; Sphenopidae.